CUGUUGAUACAGGAUUACAACAAAUAUUAAAAGAGAAUUCUGAAAUAGCACCACAAGGGAUAACUCAAAACUAUAUGGACCAGUAUCAGAAUAAAUUACUCAUAUAUACAGACGGGUCAAAACAGCCUGAGACUGGCCGCAACUGGUGCGGCUUUUUUCAUUCCCCGGUAUGAAGUAGCGGUCAAAAAAGGGUGACCGAUCAUUUAUCAGUGUACACUGUAGAACUGUUAGGAGUCCUAUUGGCACUGCAGUUUUUGGGAAAAAAUAAUCAGAACCAAGAUGUCGCUAUAGCUUCUGACAGUCUAUCAGCACCAUCAAGCAUACAGUCUGGGAAAACAUCAUGCAGACAAGACAUUGUCUACCAAAUACUUCAUCUGCUUCUCAUACUUCAUGCUAAGGGGCUGAGUGUUCCUUCUUCUGGGUUCCUGCACAUGUAGGGGUAGAAGGAAAUGAAACUGUGGAUGUACUGGCAAAGAGAUCUAUAAAGCAUGAAACAGUUGAUAUACAAGUACCAUUAAGUAGAGCAGAGAUCAAAACCAUUAUAAAGGGACAAGAGCAUAAAAUACGGCAGGAACACUGGGACACAGCUGACACCGGACGACACCUACAUACCAUACAAAAACAGUAGGCACGAGUGUGAGGCAGGGCAGGAACCCAAAGGAAGAGAUGAUAGUACACGUCUUAGAAUAGGUCAUGCUGGAUUAAAUCUAGCAUUAAACAGAAUAGGAAAACACCCCACUGGACUCUGCACACACUGCAGUACACAAGAGACGGUGAAACACGUACUGUUAGACUGCAAAAGGUAUGAGGAGGAAAGAACUGAGCUAGAGAUGCAGAUUGGAAAACAAAACAUGACACUAGAGAACUUGCUGGGGAAAACAUCUGGGGAAAUGCACCGCCCCCUAAUGAACUAUCUAAAAAUACUGGGAUAAGUGAGAGACUUUAAUAACUUAGCAUGAAUACCUAGUAUAUAGUUUGUUUUUUAUUUAUGUAUUAUUAUUAUUAUUAUUAUUAUUAUUAUUAUUAUUAUUAUUAUCAUCCUGCCAAUCUGCCGGCCACACUCCAGUCCCGUAGGUGGCGGUAAUGCACCUUCAGGUGGUAAAAACAAACAGAAGACGAAGAAGCGCCCCUUUCUGCUUUUCUCUCCAGAGAUGUGAGCAUGCUUUUUUGUGUCUCUAGUGUUAAUCUCGAUUAAUCUAUCUAUUUUACAAGUAAUUAAAAUUGUAAAACUUGUACAUCGGAUUUAAGAAACAGCUUUUCUAUCAUUUUUACGGUAUAUCUUUUAUAUACCUUAUAUAUAUCUUUUAUAUUUUUCUGUUUAGUACAGAGUCAUUUUCCUGCGCGUGAGUUUUGAGAGGUUCCCUGCAGUUUCUAAAACUAUGUGUGUUAACCCCCUGGGGACGUGAGAAUCGCCGGCGAGCUCCACCAUGUCAGGGGGAGGAGUGAAGCUACGAGUGUGUGCUGGUGAGAAACAGGAGUUUCUCUCUGAUGGGUGGAGGAACAUUCAGGAAGUCUGGUGCUUUACAGCAAUUCGAGUGUAUUGAAGUGUACAUUGCCUUUUAUUUCCCUGAUGUUUGCUAAAUUGCUGAAAUAAAUGUGAAUUUAUUAUACGUGUGAAUCCUACAAUAAAAAGGUCAAAUGUGUAAAGUGUGUGUGGUCGUCAUUAUUGCAGACUGAAGGAAGUACAAAACGCCAAAAGCUGAUGUUUCUGAUUAUUAUACAGACUCCUGGUUUUCUAACA
Molecule: long non-coding RNA, 1741 nt
Organism: Ictalurus punctatus (channel catfish)
Lineage: Eukaryota; Metazoa; Chordata; Actinopteri; Siluriformes; Ictaluridae
Source: Ensembl